UACAGAGGGGGCGAGCGUUGUUCGGAAUUACUGGGCGUAAAGGGCGCGUAGGCGGCCUCUAAAGUCGAACGUGAAAUCCCCGGGCUCAACCCGGGAACUGCGUCCGAUACUGGGGGGCUUGAAUCCGGGAGAGGGAUGUGGAAUUCCAGGUGUAGCGGUGAAAUGCGUAGAUAUCUGGAGGAACACCGGUGGCGAAGGCGGCAUCCUGGACCGGUAUUGACGCUGAGGCGCGAAAGCCAGGGGAGCAAACGGG
RNAcentral lists this ribosomal RNA (253 nucleotides) under uncultured bacterium. Its description in RNAcentral is "partial 16S ribosomal RNA". It matches the Rfam family "Bacterial small subunit ribosomal RNA", at positions 524 to 776 of the family's 1533-position model. The record is from RNAcentral.